This 77-nucleotide transfer RNA is filed under the name Paraplanobispora siamensis. RNAcentral describes it as "Planobispora siamensis tRNA-His". It matches the Rfam family "tRNA". From Rfam's summary of the family: Transfer RNA (tRNA) molecules are approximately 80 nucleotides in length. Their secondary structure includes four short double-helical elements and three loops (D, anti-codon, and T loops). Lineage: Bacteria; Bacillati; Actinomycetota; Actinomycetes; Streptosporangiales; Streptosporangiaceae. The record is from RNAcentral.
GUGACCGAACCCCGAAGGGUCGAGGGGGCCCGGUUGUGACCCGGGCGCAAGCCGGUUCAAGUCCGGCCGGUCACCCC